GAGUGACCUCGGGACAGCCUUGGCUCUUCUGUGCGCCUGAGCUUCUCGCUUUCGAUAACUGGGGUAACGUUACGAGGGCGGGCUCAUUGGGGCUCUGCCUGUAAAGCUCAGGGCCUGGCAUGCAGCGUGCGCUCCGGGACGGCGGCUAUUUUUAUUAUUAAUUAAGGAGUAACGAAGGUGACAGCUGUGUAAACUGUAAAGCGCGACUGGGGACUGAACGGGUAUUAUUAGCACCGCCCCCGCUCCGGCUACUCCCUCCAAAUCAACAAACUUGCGCUUCCGUAGGCCAGGAGGCAGAAGCAAAUGGGACUCUACCCACUUGUAAGCCAGCUUCCUUGGUCUAGACUUCCAGCCCAUCCAAGACUACAUAAGAGAUCUGGCCUCAAAGAAAGAAAGGAGAAUGAGUUGGAGAAAAGCUGUCACGACCCUCCAAAAUCAAUAUAUUUACAGCUUCCUGAGAAGACGGCGAUGCUAAAGACUGUGUCUGUCAUUGGGGUGAGAUGGCUUAACAGAGACAGGAUUUCUCUGUGUAGCCCUGGCUAUCUGUCCUGGAACUCUGUAGACCAGGCUGGCCUCAAACUCAGAGAUCCCCUGCCUCUGCCUUCUGCGUGCUGGGAUCAAAGGUGUGCACCACCACUGGCUUCAUUGUUUACAAACAAAACAACAACAACAAAAACAGGCCAACAAGAUGACUCAAUGAGUGAAGAAUGACGCCUGCCACAAAGCCUGAUGACCUGAGUUCAACCCCAGACCUACAUGGUAGAAAGAACUGACUCCUGAAAGUUCUCUGACCUCCACACAUGUACUAUAUGACACAUAUGUGUGUUCACAUGAUUAUGCAUGUGUGUGUGUGUCACACAUAUACAGAUAGAAAAACACAUGUAAUAAAGCUCAAAUAUCAUAUUCUGUGUUCUUAUUUUUAUUUUUUUUUACCAUUUUAAAAGAUUUAUGUGUGUACAUGAAUGUACGUACCAGAAGAGGGCAUCAACCCUUCUAGACCUGGUAGGUAUGGUACCUCAGAGGUAGUUAUGAGCUGCCAUGUACAUACUGGAAACUGAACUCAGGUCUUCUGCAGCAGCAGUAAGUGCUUGUGACUGCUAAGCCAUCUCUCCAGCUCUAUGUUCAAUACCAUAUAUAUACAUAUAUAUAUAUAUACACACACACAUAUGAUAUAUGUAUAUAUCAGUCCUUCUGGGAGAGAUAUAGCAAUCAAUAAUAAAAUGAACUGUUAUACAAUGAAAUAAAUAAUUACAAAU
Molecule: non-coding RNA, 1256 nt
Organism: Mus caroli (Ryukyu mouse)
Lineage: Eukaryota; Metazoa; Chordata; Mammalia; Rodentia; Muridae
Source: RefSeq, a predicted model, not a curated record